ACACAUGCAGUCGAGCGGCAGCACACAGGAGUUUGCUCCUUUGGUGGCGAGAGGCGGACAGGUGAGUAAUGCCUGGGGAUCUGCCCCCUGGAGGGGGAUAACAAUUGGAAACGACUGCUAAUACCGCAUACUCCCUACGGGGGAAAGAAGGGGACCUUCGGGCCUUCCGCCAUUGGAUGAACCUCCGUGGGAUUAUCUAGUUGGUGAGGUAAUGGCUCACCAAGGCGACGAUCCCUACCUGUUCUGAGAGGAUGAUCAUCCACACUGGGACUGAGACACGGCCCAGACUCCUACGGGAGGCAGCAGUGGGGAAUAUUGCUCAAUGGGGGAAACCCUGAUGCAGCCAUGCCGCGUGUGUUAAGAAGGCCUUCGGGUUGUAAAGCACUUUCAUUAGGGAGGAAAGGGUGACGUUUAAUACGCCUUAUCUGUGACGUUACCUACAGAAGAAGGACCGGCUAACUCCGUGCCGGCAGCCGCGGUAAUACUGAGGGUGCGAGCGUUAAUCGUAAUUACUGGGUCGUAUAGCGUGCGCAGGCGGUUUGUUAAUCAAGAUGUGAUAGCCCGCGCGCUCAACCUAGGAAUAGCAUUUCGUACUGUCGAACUAGAGUCUUGUAGAGGGGGGGUAGAAUUCUAGGUGUAGCGGUGAAAUGCGUAGAGAUCUUGGAGGAGGACCGGUGGUGGACGGCGGCCGCCCUGCACAACGACUGACGCUCAUGCAGCGUAAAGCGUGGGGGA
This 735-nucleotide ribosomal RNA is filed under the name uncultured bacterium. Its description in RNAcentral is "bacterial SSU rRNA". It matches the Rfam family "Bacterial small subunit ribosomal RNA", at positions 51 to 768 of the family's 1533-position model. The record is from RNAcentral.